AUGUAACAGAGUUUAAAAAUAUUUUUGUUAAAUUCAGCAAAAAUUGGGAAACUCGCCAUUGGCUGUUGUGGACAUGAUAUUGCGGGGCGGCGCUAUAUAAUCAGAGUCUCACACCUGCUGACUUCCACUGCGACAUUGAUGCACUGUAUGCUGAUAAGCCUUUUGGUGCUGUUUUUCCCAGGAGUUUGCAUGUUCUCCCCGUGCCUCGGGGGUUUCCUCCGGGUACUCCGGUUUCCUCCCCUGGUCCAAAGACAUGCAUGGUCAAACGGAUGUGACGUAUGGCGUAUGCUAGCACUUAAAUUGGCGGUUUCUUGGCGCGGUCUCGCAACUUGUACAAGAUGUCUUUGGGAACAACUUACACAUUGAGGAGGGGCACGUUGUCAGCUGUACUUCGAGAGGAUGAUAUAACAGUGGACAACUUGCCGAGGAUUUUUAAGGUAACACAAUCAAGUGUUUACUUGACCAGUGACCAGGGAGUUUCAGUUUUUUCCAUCCACAUCUAGAUUCUUUAGUUGUUUGGAUCUCAUGACUGGUGGAGGAACCUUCCAGGUGAUGGGGAUGAAAUGUGCGGGGCAUUACCAAGCCCAGUCACAAAGCCAUUUCACCCAAACCCUGGUCAGAGUCGACCUCGUUUUAGUUUUUCAAGAUCAUCCACUGCUACUACUGCUGCUGCUCGCACACCCCAUCCUGCAACUAAUCAAAAAAUCUACCAAAGAACCAUUUUCCUUGGUCAACUUGAGGGUGACAAAAUAGUACAGGACAAGGCCUUGGUAAUCCCUUUUGAAGAGUCUGAGGCCUGUUUGUCUACCAUCACAAAGUUAAAGAAGCCCUUGCUGUGGGUGCUGAUGAAAACAUCAUUUUAACUGAUAGUCAAGGAAACCUGCUCCUUGAUGCCCCUGGCACAAAAGGUUCUGCUUAUUGGAAGCAGAGGUCCAGGCACCUUUUUGCCAUCAAAGAUGUUUUUGCAGAAAUGGGAAGAAGAAAAAGAAGAAAACUAGGGAGUGAUGAACAGACCUACAGUAUGCUGGCGC
Long non-coding RNA from Tachysurus vachellii, 1031 nucleotides. RefSeq lists it as uncharacterized. NCBI's taxonomy places the organism in Eukaryota, Metazoa, Chordata, Actinopteri, Siluriformes, Bagridae. The record is from RefSeq and is a predicted model, not a curated record. The transcript has 7 exons.